UACGUAGGUGGCAAGCGUUAUCCGGAAUUAUUGGGCGUAAAGCGAGCGCAGGUGGUUUAAUAAGUCUGGUGUAAAAGGCAGUGGCUCAACCAUUGUAUGCAUUGGAAACUGGUAGACUUGAGUGCAGGAGAGGAGAGUGGAAUUCCAUGUGUAGCGGUGAAAUGCGUAGAUAUAUGGAGGAACACCGGUGGCGAAAGCGGCUCUCUGGCCUGUAACUGACACUGAGGCUCGAAAGCGUGGGGAGCAAACAGG
Molecule: ribosomal RNA, 252 nt
Filed under: uncultured microorganism
Description: partial 16S ribosomal RNA
Rfam family: Bacterial small subunit ribosomal RNA
Source: RNAcentral